UACAAUUGAGACAGGUGGUGCAUGGUGUCGUCAGCUCGUGUCGUGAGAUGGUUGGGUUAAGUCCCGCAACGAGCGCAACCCUUGUGUUUAGUUGCAAACAGGUCAAGCUGUGCACUCUAGACAGACUGCCGUGGACAACACGGAGGAAGGUGGGGAUGACGUCAAAUCAUCAUGCCCCUUAUGAUCUGGGCUACACACGUGCUACAAUGGCCGGUACAACGGGCAGCGAAGGAGCGAUCCGGAGCGAAUCCUAAAAAGCCGGUCCCAGUUCGGAUUGCAGGCUGAAACUCGCCUACAUGAAGUUGGAGUUGCUAGUAAUCGCGAAUCAGAAUGUCGCGGUGAAUGCGUUCCGGGUCUU
Molecule: ribosomal RNA, 358 nt
Filed under: uncultured Fusibacter sp.
Lineage: Bacteria; Bacillati; Bacillota; Clostridia; Eubacteriales; Fusibacteraceae
Description: bacterial SSU rRNA
Rfam family: Bacterial small subunit ribosomal RNA
Source: RNAcentral